This 253-nucleotide small RNA is filed under the name Macaca fascicularis (crab-eating macaque). RNAcentral's name for it is "Metazoan signal recognition particle RNA (ENSMFAG00000049108.1)". Lineage: Eukaryota; Metazoa; Chordata; Mammalia; Primates; Cercopithecidae. The record is from Rfam by way of RNAcentral.
GCCAGGUGUGGUGGUGGGCACCUGUAGUCCCAGCUACUUGGGAGGCUGAGGCAGGAGAAUCCCUUGAACCUGGGAGGUGGAGGUUGCAGUGAGCCAAGAUCACACCAUUGCACUCAGCCUGGGCGACAGAGAGAUUCCAUCUCAAAAAAAAAAAGACUAAAUCUCACUCUGUUGCUCAGGCUGGAGUGCAGCGGUGUGAUCUCAGCUCACUGCAACCUCCACCUCCUGGGUUCAAGCAAUUCUCUUGCCUCAA